RNAcentral lists this ribosomal RNA (440 nucleotides) under uncultured bacterium. RNAcentral describes it as "partial 16S ribosomal RNA". It matches the Rfam family "Bacterial small subunit ribosomal RNA", at positions 338 to 795 of the family's 1533-position model. The record is from RNAcentral.
CCUACGGGGUGCAGCAGUGGGGAAUAUUGCACAAUGGGGGGAACCCUGAUGCAGCGACGCCGCGUGAGUGAAGAAGUAAUUCGGUACGUAAAGCUCUAUCAGCAGGGAAGAAAAUGACGGUACCCGACCAAGAAGCCCCGGCUAACUACGUGCCAGCAGCCGCGGUAAUACGUCGGGGGCGAGCGUUAUCCGGAAUUACUGGGUGUAAAGGGAGCGUAGACGGCGAGGUAAGCCUGAAGUGGAAGCCCGCGGCCGAACCGCGGAACUGCUUUGGGAACUGGUUGGCUGGAGUAUGGGAGGGGUAAGCGGAAUUCCUGGUGUAGCGGUGAAAUGCGUAGAUAUCAGGAGGAACACCGGUGGCGAAGGCGGCUUACUGGACCGUAACUGACGUUGAGGCUCGAAAGCGUGGGGAGCGAACAGGAUUAGAUACCCCUGUAGUC